GUGGGGAAUUUUGGACAAUGGGCGCAAGCCUGAUCCAGCAAUGCCGCGUGCAGGAAGAAGGCCUUCGGGUUGUAAACUGCUUUUGUACGGAACGAAAAGGCUCUGGCUAAUACCUGGAGCUCAUGACGGUACCGUAAGAAUAAGCACCGGCUAACUACGUGCCAGCAGCCGCGGUAAUACGUAGGGUGCGAGCGUUAAUCGGAAUUACUGGGCGUAAAGCGUGCGCAGGCGGUGCUGUAAGACAGGCGUGAAAUCCCCGGGCUCAACCUGGGGAUUGCGCUUGUGACUGCAGCGCUGGAGUGCGGCAGAGGGGGAUGGAAUUCCGCGUGUAGCAGUGAAAUGCGUAGAUAUGCGGAGGAACACCGAUGGCGAAGGCAAUCCCCUGGGCCUGCACUGACGCUCAUGCACGAAAGCGUGGGGAGCAAACAGGAUUAGAUACCCCUGUAGUCC
Molecule: ribosomal RNA, 450 nt
Filed under: uncultured bacterium
Lineage: Bacteria
Description: partial 16S ribosomal RNA
Rfam family: Bacterial small subunit ribosomal RNA
Source: RNAcentral